RNAcentral lists this ribosomal RNA (397 nucleotides) under uncultured bacterium. RNAcentral describes it as "partial 16S ribosomal RNA". It matches the Rfam family "Bacterial small subunit ribosomal RNA", at positions 523 to 918 of the family's 1533-position model. The record is from RNAcentral.
AUACGUAGGUGACAAGCGUUAUCCGGAUUUACUGGGCGUAAAGGGCGUGUAGGCGGUCUUGCAAGUCAGAAGUGAAAUUCCUGAGCUCAACUCGGGCGCUGCUUCUGAAACUGCAGGACUUGAGUGCUGGAGGGGAUAGCGGAAUUCCUAGUGGAGCGGUAAAAUGCGAAGAUAUUAGGAAGAACACCGGUGGCGAAGGCGGCUAUCUGGACAGUAACUGACGCGGAGGCGCGAAAGCGUGGGGAGCAAACAGGAUUAGAUACCCUGGUAGUCCACGCCAUAAACGAUGAAUACUAGGUGUAGGGGGUAUCGACUCCCUCUGUGCCGCAGUUAACACAAUAAGUAUUCCGCCUGGGGAGUACGGUCGCAAGGUUGAAACUCAAAGGAAUUGACGGGG